This 465-nucleotide ribosomal RNA is filed under the name uncultured bacterium. Its description in RNAcentral is "partial 16S ribosomal RNA". It matches the Rfam family "Bacterial small subunit ribosomal RNA", at positions 28 to 507 of the family's 1533-position model. The record is from RNAcentral.
GACGAACGCUGGCGGCGUGCUUAACACAUGCAAGUCGAACGGAAAGGCCCCUUUGGGGGCACUCGAGUGGCGAACGGGUGAGUAACACGUGAGUAACCUGCCCUUGACUUCGGGAUAACUUCAGGAAACUGGGGCUAAUACCGGAUAGGAAUCCUUGCUGCAUGGUGGGGGUUGGAAAGCUUCGGCGGUUUUGGAUGGACUCGCGGCUUAUCAGCUUGUUGGUGGGGUAGUGGCUUACCAAGGCUUUGACGGGUAGCCGGCCUGAGAGGGCGACCGGCCACAGUGGGACUGAGAUACGGCCCAGACUCCUACGGGAGGCAGCAGUGGGGAAUAUUGCACAAUGGGCGGAAGCCUGAUGCAGCAACGCCGCGUGCGGGAUGACGGCCUUCGGGUUGUAAACCGCUUUCAGCAGGGGCGAAGCUUGUGGUGACGGUACCUGCAGAAGAAGCACCGGCUAACUACGUG